RNAcentral lists this ribosomal RNA (253 nucleotides) under uncultured bacterium. Its description in RNAcentral is "partial 16S ribosomal RNA". It matches the Rfam family "Bacterial small subunit ribosomal RNA", at positions 524 to 776 of the family's 1533-position model. The record is from RNAcentral.
UACGUAGGGUGCGAGCGUUGUCCGGAAUUAUUGGGCGUAAAGGGCUCGUAGGCGGUUUGUCACGUCUGCUGUGAAAUCCCGGGGCUCAACCCCGGGCGUGCAGUGGAUACGGGCUGGCUAGAGGCAGGCAGGGGAGAACGGAAUUCCCGGUGUAGCGGUGAAAUGCGCAGAUAUCGGGAGGAACACCGGUGGCGAAGGCGGUUCUCUGGGCCUGUACUGACGCUGAGGAGCGAAAGCGUGGGGAGCGAACAGG